UGGGGAAUUUUGGGCAAUGGGCGAAAGCCUGACCCAGCAACGCCGCGUGAAGGACGAAAUCCCUCCGGGAUGUAAACUUCGAAAGUCAGGAAAGAAAUCCUACGGGACAACACCCCGUGGGGAUGACGGUACCUGACGUAAGCCCCGGCUAACUACGUGCCAGCAGCCGCGGUAAUACGUAGGGGGCAAGCGUUGUUCGGAAUUACUGGGCGUAAAGGGCGCGUAGGCGGCACAGCAAGUCGGGAGUGAAAGCCCGGGGCUCAACCCCGGAACUGCUUUCGAAACUGCUGAGCUAGAGUACAGAAGGGGCAACCGGAAUUCCCAGUGUAGCGGUGAAAUGCGUAGAUAUUGGGAAGAACACCUGAGGCGAAGGCGGGUUGCUGGGCUGAUACUGACGCUGAGGCGCGAAAGCCAGGGGAGCAAACGGGAUUAGAUACCCCGGUAGUCCUGGCCCUAAACGAUGGAUACUUGGUGUAUGGGGUUCUCAAAGUCCCCGUGUGCCGGAGCUAACGCGGUAAGUAUCCCGCCUGGGGAGUACGGUCG
RNAcentral lists this ribosomal RNA (543 nucleotides) under uncultured Acidobacteriota bacterium. Its description in RNAcentral is "bacterial SSU rRNA". It matches the Rfam family "Bacterial small subunit ribosomal RNA", at positions 355 to 888 of the family's 1533-position model. The record is from RNAcentral. Lineage: Bacteria; Pseudomonadati; Acidobacteriota.